This 324-nucleotide long non-coding RNA is filed under the name Olea europaea (common olive). RNAcentral describes it as "long non-coding RNA (OEUR_LNC013011)". The record is from RNAcentral. Lineage: Eukaryota; Viridiplantae; Streptophyta; Magnoliopsida; Lamiales; Oleaceae.
AGAAUUACUAUGACGGAAACCCAACAUUGUAGAUUGGAGAUCCCAAGAUCUUGGUUCAAUGGGACAACUAAGUCAUAAAUGAUUCGGAAUAAAGCACUUAUUCCCAUUCCUAAAAUUUAAAGUGCUAUGUAAAAUGUGUAUAAGGAUAAGUAUACAUAUAUACUUUUAAUGAUUCAUAACCUUGAGAUAGAAAGGUAUGAGAUCACCUAUAUAAGUGUGAAAUGGGGCCGUUUCUAUGAGAGUUCGAGGCUUAAUUCUCUUAGAGCACUUAUGAAACCAAGAGUUGUCCAGGGCCAAAAUGGACUCAACCAUGAGAACCGAAUA